Molecule: ribosomal RNA, 253 nt
Filed under: uncultured Synechococcus sp.
Lineage: Bacteria; Bacillati; Cyanobacteriota; Cyanophyceae; Synechococcales; Synechococcaceae
Description: partial 16S ribosomal RNA
Rfam family: Bacterial small subunit ribosomal RNA
Source: RNAcentral
UACGGGAGUGGCAAGCGUUAUCCGGAAUUAUUGGGCGUAAAGCGUCCGCAGGCGGUCUUGUAAGUCUGUCGUUAAAGCGUGGAGCUUAACUCCAUUUGAGCGAUGGAAACUGUAAGACUAGAGUGUGGUAGGGGCAGAGGGAAUUCCCGGUGUAGCGGUGAAAUGCGUAGAUAUCGGGAAGAACACCAGUGGCGAAGGCGCUCUGCUGGGCCAUAACUGACGCUCAUGGACGAAAGCCAGGGGAGCGAAAGGG